GACAGAGGUGGCAAGCGUUGUUCGGAUUCAUUGGGUGUAAAGGGUGCGUAGGCGGUUUGGAUAGUCAGAUGUGAAAUCCUACAGCUUAACUGUAGAACUGCAUUUGAAACUUCCAGGCUAGAGUGCGGAAGAGGUGAAGGGAAUUCCCGGUGUAAGGGUGAAAUCUGCAGAUAUCGGGAAGAACACCAGUAGCGAAGGCGCUUCACUGGUCCGUUUCUGACGCUGAGUGCACGAAGGUGUGGGGAGCAAACGGGAUUAGAUACCCCGGUAGUCCACACAGUAAACUAUGUUCACUAGGUGUUGGGCGAGUUUCGACUCGUUCGGUGCCGCAGCUAACGCAUUAAGUGAACCACCUGGGGAGUACACUCGCAAGGGUGAA
Molecule: ribosomal RNA, 379 nt
Filed under: uncultured bacterium
Lineage: Bacteria
Description: bacterial SSU rRNA
Rfam family: Bacterial small subunit ribosomal RNA
Source: RNAcentral